This 72-nucleotide ribosomal RNA is filed under the name Acinetobacter bereziniae. RNAcentral's name for it is "partial 23S ribosomal RNA". It matches the Rfam family "Bacterial large subunit ribosomal RNA", at positions 2853 to 2925 of the family's 2925-position model. Lineage: Bacteria; Pseudomonadati; Pseudomonadota; Gammaproteobacteria; Moraxellales; Moraxellaceae. The record is from RNAcentral.
UGAUAGGUUGGAUGUGGAAGUGCGGUGACGCAUGAAGCUGACCAAUACUAAUUGCUCGUGAGGCUUGACUAU